GACGAACGCUGGCGGCGUGCUUAACACAUGCAAGUCGAACGGAAAGGCCCUGCUUUUGUGGGGUGCUCGAGUGGCGAACGGGUGAGUAACACGUGAGUAACCUGCCCUUGACUUUGGGAUAACUUCAGGAAACUGGGGCUAUUACCGGAUAGGAGCUCCUGCUGCAUGGUGGGGGUUGGAAAGUUUCGGCGGUUGGGGCUAGACUCGCGGCUUAUCAGCUUGUUAGUGGGGUAGUGGCUUACCCAGGCUUUGACGGGUAGCCGGCCUGUGAGGGUGACCGGCCACAUGGGGACUGAGAUACGGCCCAGACUCCUACGGGAGGCAGCAGUGGGAAAUAUUGCACAAUGAGCGGAAGCCUGAUGCAGCAACGCCGCGUGCGGAAUGACGGCCUUCGGGUUGUAAACCGCUUUCGCCUGUGACGAAGCGUGAGUGACGGUAAUGGGUAAAGAAGCACCGGCUAACUACGUG
RNAcentral lists this ribosomal RNA (468 nucleotides) under uncultured bacterium. RNAcentral's name for it is "partial 16S ribosomal RNA". It matches the Rfam family "Bacterial small subunit ribosomal RNA", at positions 28 to 507 of the family's 1533-position model. The record is from RNAcentral.